RNAcentral lists this ribosomal RNA (488 nucleotides) under uncultured bacterium. RNAcentral's name for it is "partial 16S ribosomal RNA". It matches the Rfam family "Bacterial small subunit ribosomal RNA", at positions 30 to 507 of the family's 1533-position model. The record is from RNAcentral.
AUUGAACGCUGGCGGCAGGCCUAACACAUGCAAGUCGAACGGUAGCACAGAGAGCUUGCUCUCGGGUGACGAGUGGCGGACGGGUGAGUAAUGUCUGGGAAACUGCCCGAUGGAGGGGGAUAACUACUGGAAACGGUAGCUAAUACCGCAUAAUGUCGCAAGACCAAAGAGGGGGACCUUCGGGCCUCUUGCCAUCGAAUGUGCCCAGAUGGGAUUAGCUUGUUGGUGAGGUAAUGGCUCACCAAGGCGACGAUCCCUAGCUGGUCUGAGAGGAUGACCAGCCACACUGGAACUGAGACACGGUCCAGACUCCUACGGGAGGCAGCAGUGGGGAAUAUUGCACAAUGGGCGCAAGCCUGAUGCAGCCAUGCCGCGUGUGUGAAGAAGGCCUUCGGGUUGUAAAGCACUUUCAGCGGGGAGGAAGGCAAUGCGGUUAAUAACCGUGUUGAUUGACGUUACCCGCAGAAGAAGCACCGGCUAACUCCGUG